Megalobrama amblycephala (Wuchang bream) is the source of this 476-nucleotide long non-coding RNA. RefSeq lists it as uncharacterized. The record is from RefSeq and is a predicted model, not a curated record. The transcript is spliced from 4 exons. Lineage: Eukaryota; Metazoa; Chordata; Actinopteri; Cypriniformes; Xenocyprididae.
AAGAAUGAGACGAGAUCAAACAGAAUCUCCAGCUCCUUCAUGUACAUCUCUAAAUAGUGAGCAGUCACUGGAUCGUCCGAUACUGUUCAAAGAUGGAACUCAGAGUUUUCAUAGGAAUGAAAGACUAAGACCAGAUGAAGCAACAUCUCCAGCACCUUCUUCUACAUCUCUGAAAAGUGACCAGUCACUAGAUCGACCAAUACUGUUCAAAGAUGGUACACAGAUUAUUAUGAGGAAUAAAAGGCUGACACCAAAUAAAACAACAUCUCCAGCACCUUCUUGUACAUCUCUACAAAGUGACCAGUCACUGGAUCGGCCGAUACUGUUCAAAGAUGGCGCAAAGAGUUUAAGGCUGAAAUCAAAUAGCGCAACAUCUCCAGCAUCUUCAUGCACAUCUCUGAAAAGCGACCAGUCACUGGAUCGACCAAUAUUGUUCAGAGAUGGAACACCAAUUUUCCUGAGUAAAGAAAGGUAUU